Coregonus clupeaformis (lake whitefish) is the source of this 550-nucleotide long non-coding RNA. RefSeq lists it as uncharacterized. The transcript is spliced from 2 exons. NCBI's taxonomy places the organism in Eukaryota, Metazoa, Chordata, Actinopteri, Salmoniformes, Salmonidae. The record is from RefSeq and is a predicted model, not a curated record.
AGGGCUGAAAGAAGAAGAGGUAAAAGCGGCGUGAAGCCAGCUAUACGAACACUGUAUGUAGGCUCCAACGAGGGACGUCAACCGCGAAAUUAAGAAGAGGAAAAUCUCUUGUUUCUUUGAUAGUUAGUCCUGCAACAAUUUGAUAUAGCCCACUGUUUUUUUUGCAAUUUAUGAUAUGUUUGCCCUCGUGCUGGAUUGCAGCUGGCCCCCUUUAACAGCUUUCACUUCUACCAGGUGAAGGAGUGGUGAAAUGGGUUGGCACAAAGGAAAACCCUACGAUGUGGCACUCUGGCUUUCCAAGUAAAGUUCUGUGAUACACUUCGACUCUAAUUGUUUGCAGUCAGUGCAUUACAGAACUUUGUUUUGGGAGUUAAUGCUCUGGCCUGCGGGAAGAAACCUACCGUCUGGAGAGUGGGACCAUUAUUUCACAUGCCACUUGCAGACUGCAAUAGGGAGAAUAAAGUUUUUCUUUUGACAAUGACUUGGCUCAUGAGUUUUCACCUACUUGUGAAGUAUUUAUCUGCUUGUAAUUAAACACGCACUUGGUCUA